GUGGGGAAUAUUGGACAAUGGGGGGAACCCUGAUCCAGCCAUGCCGCGUGUGUGAAGAAGGCCUUUUGGUUGUAAAGCACUUUAAGCGAGGAGGAGGCUACCGAGAUUAAUACUCUUGGAUAGUGGACGUUACUCGCAGAAUAAGCACCGGCUAACUCUGUGCCAGCAGCCGCGGUAAUACAGAGGGUGCAAGCGUUAAUCGGAUUUACUGGGCGUAAAGCGCGCGUAGGUGGCCAAUUAAGUCAAAUGUGAAAUCCCCGAGCUUAACUUGGGAAUUGCAUUCGAGACUGGUUGGCUAGAGUAUGGGAGAGGAUGGUAGAAUUCCAGGUGUAGCGGUGAAAUGCGUAGAGAUCUGGAGGAAUACCGAUGGCGAAGGCAGCCAUCUGGCCUAAUACUGACACUGAGGUGCGAAAGCAUGGGGAGCAAACAGGAUUAGAAACCCUGGUAGUCC
Molecule: ribosomal RNA, 451 nt
Filed under: uncultured bacterium
Lineage: Bacteria
Description: partial 16S ribosomal RNA
Rfam family: Bacterial small subunit ribosomal RNA
Source: RNAcentral